AUGCACGCUGGCGGCGUGCCUAAUACAUGCAAGUCGCGCGAACAGACGAGGAGCUUGCUCCUCUGACGUUAGCGGCGGACGGGUGAGUAACACGUGGAUAACCUACCUAUAAGACUGGGAUAACUUCGGGAAACCGGAGCUAAUACCGGAUAAUAUAUUGAACCGCAUGGUUCAAUAGUGAAAGACGGUUUUGCUGUCACUUAUAGAUGGAUCCGCGCCGCAUUAGCUAGUUGGUAAGGUAACGGCUUACCAAGGCAACGAUGCGUAGCCGACCUGAGAGGGUGAUCGGCCACACUGGAACUGGGACACGGUCCAGACUCCUACGGGAGGCAGCAGUAGGGAAUCUUCCGCAAUGGGCGAAAGCCUGACGGAGCAACGCCGCGUGAGUGAUGAAGGUCUUCGGAUCGUAAAACUCUGUUAUUAGGGAAGAACAAAUGUGUAAGUAACUAUGCACGUCUUGACGGUACCUAAUCAGAAAGCCACGGCUAACUACGUG
RNAcentral lists this ribosomal RNA (496 nucleotides) under uncultured bacterium. Its description in RNAcentral is "partial 16S ribosomal RNA". It matches the Rfam family "Bacterial small subunit ribosomal RNA", at positions 29 to 507 of the family's 1533-position model. The record is from RNAcentral.